Scaptodrosophila lebanonensis is the source of this 2426-nucleotide long non-coding RNA. RefSeq lists it as uncharacterized. The transcript has 4 exons. Lineage: Eukaryota; Metazoa; Arthropoda; Insecta; Diptera; Drosophilidae. The record is from RefSeq and is a predicted model, not a curated record.
CAUCCACCACUAUAAACGUAAACAAACAAACCAAUUACGAAAUUACAAUACGUGCAACAACAAAAACUACGAUGCGACAAAAAAAAACUCCGGCAGUUUCAGUGGACUUCGGUGUUCCUGCCCAAGCGCUCCCGCCCAUCCUGUAGCCAGCACAGUUUGUGGCUACCUACUAUGGAGCUACGUACUCCUUAUUUUGGCCCGGUCGUCCAGGCUAUGACCUAUUGCAACCGAACGCGAACGAAAACCCAAUUCGGACGGCCUAUGUACUUGGAUCAGCUAUGGACGCGAAUCGCCUUCCCUCCACAGAGCUCUAGGGGUCAGGGGCACUCCUAUUUAUUUUACUCUGGUGGCCAAACACUCACAAAUUCUAGGCUGUCCUUCCUAUUCGGUUUUACAUAACUCUGAGAUCAAAGCUUGGCUAUUUCCUCACGAGACAGCACCGGACACACGAUGGGGCCAGGAAUCAGGGUUGCGGCGGUACGGCGUUGGCGUCGCUAGCAUCAACACCUGGUACCAGAACGGACUCACUCAGUUUAGGCUUCUACGGCACGUAUCCUCCGUCGUCUAUGCUGGCGGUACGGUAGAAUCCGCUGGUCGGUGGGAUAGCCCUGAAGACGCGGCUGUACGGGCUGCCGCUGACGAAGAUGCGACGAUGAGACGAUGAUGGCGAUGCGGGCGGUCAAUUCAGCCUCAACAUGCGUCGAAACGUGGUCGGCGGGACGAUUGGGCAUGUGCUGGUGGCUACCAAUUGCCCAAUAUCCAAAAUGUAGCAUAAGUCCAAAAUAAACAGACCCAGCGGCCGCUCGUCUGCUGCUGGGUCUAUGAUUAUCUGACACGUAGACAUUGGCAUAAAUUUCUUUCAUUUAUUUUCUAACCUUUUUUUCUCUUACCUAUUUUCAGGUUAUAGGUAUAUUCAAAAUUCUUUCAGGUCUGUGUCCGUGCUCCGUCCUUGCUCGUCUCAUUCACCAGCAACAAUGCCGCCACCACCUCGCGUACCGCGUGGCUCUUUCAAAACCCUUUUGCAUCCGUUUAUUCCCAUCCUUCUCCUGCCGCCAUCUCCUACUCCCAUUUCCAGCAACCAUGGCCUGCUGCCGCAACAGCUGGCACUGUCACUUCCCGGUACCGCAAGGUGGCGCUGGUAACCGGUUGCGCCGAUAAAUGUAUGCUGGCGUUGCCAGAAACCGCGGCCGAUAAUUAGCCGAUGCAACACCAACGCAAAGGUGCGAGUGACGCCAUCCGGAAUGCUGCAACCUUUGCGCGCAUCAUCUCCGCCGUCGCGCGACUUCGGCUUUCGCUUAGGAGCGCAAAUCUUUUGCGUGGAAAACUCCCAGAGGCCUUCCUUGCAGAUCUUCAACUUCGUACGCGUUGCUUCCAACGGCUCGGACUACUCGCGACUUCAGGAACUUCCUCGCAAACUUCGCGUUGAACGCUUUGCUAAAGUCGCUGAAUUCCAAAUUUUUAGGCGGUAGACUUCUUGGCCCGGGACAGCAUGGAACUUACGCGCUCGUUGGUCAAAGCGGGCUCUACUUCGCUCAUACGCGGUAUGCAUGUGUCUUUGCACCUUCUCCUGGACAAGUUUCUGUCUGUCGCUUUUAUUUAAUACUGACAUCUCGUGGUCGCCCAUCGACUUCAGUUUCCUCGCCAAUUCAUAUUGGGACCCAUGCAACAUCAUGUGCUGCCCGAAGAGUGCAAAGAACGGCGUCUUUCCUGUCGCCGCGUGCACGCUGUUUCGAAUCGCCACCUCGAUUUCCGGCAGAUGCAAAUCCCCCUCUCUAUGAUCCUGUUCCAGGUAUGCUCUAAUGGCUGCCAAUACGGUGCGGUUGACCCGUUCCGAGGCGUUGCUCUGGGGCGAAUAUACCGGGGUCUUCAGAUGCUUGAUCCCGUACGCACCAAUCAUCUCCGCAAACGUCGCUGAAGUAAAUUGCCGGCCAUUGUCUGAAUGCAUCACCUCUGGCACUCCAAAUGUGUGAAAGACGUUGUUCACCAGAAAUUCCACCACAUUUCCCGACGUAGCCUUCCUCAUCGCUUUCAAGAAGUUCUAGGGUAUUUCCCUAGGAAAUCAACAUAUAGCUUCUGGAAAGGCCGCCCUGUCACCACCUCAGCACCGAGACUGACCUGCAUUUUAAAAUUUGCCGCCUUGGUCUCUUUGCAGACUUGGCAGCCUCGCACAAACUCCGCGACUUGACACGCCAUCCUCGGCCAAUAGAAGUACCGCCGUAGAUUUUCCAGCGUCUUCGCAACUCCUCCGUGUCCCGCUGUUUCCUCGCAAUGGGCUCUCGUAAUCAGGGCUCCUGUUAACGCGCUGGGCACCCACAGCUUCCACUCGAUUCCGUCUAGCUGUGCCUCAAGGCGGUUGAAUGCGGUCCGUUUGUAAAUGACGCCGUCCACGACUUGCAAGUCAAUUCUCGGUAUUCCUCCGAUUCAAA